RNAcentral lists this long non-coding RNA (808 nucleotides) under Homo sapiens (human). RNAcentral describes it as "HSALNT0296524". Lineage: Eukaryota; Metazoa; Chordata; Mammalia; Primates; Hominidae. The record is from RNAcentral.
CCUCAUUCCUGGCCCCCAAGCCCUUGGCAACUACAAUUCUACUUUCUGCUUCUAUCAUUUGACUACUUUAGAUACCUCAUGUUCUAGAGGUCACCGCCUUUCCUUGGUUCAUGGCUGCUUUCCUUCAUCUUCAAAGCCAGAAACAUUGGGCCAAGCCCUUCUGUCUCUCCCUCUUCUACUUUAAAAGACCCUUGUGGCCCAGCCUGGCCAACAUGGCUCACAGAAGGGAGGCAGGCACAGAUGGAAAAACGUAAGUUACUUACCCUUUUGGUCUGAAAAACACUGCAAACAGUAAUCAUACUUUUAGAGCAUCAAAUACGGGGCUGGAGCCUGGGCUGUGAUAGAAAUAACUUCGUCUUUUCUAAUAACAUGACCUUAACAGAACAGACAAUGGAGACAGAGGGAAAAGCAGCAGCCAGAAAUUCUUGUAAAGGUUCCAGAAGGUGAACCAUGCUUUUUGGUUUUUCACCUAUGUCAUGCUGAUAUUAAGCAGUCAGAUUAUAUAGUAUUUUUGUCCCUUCCUCAGGGAAGCCUUCUCUGGUUACCCCUUAGAUCAGUAGAGGUCACAAAGAUAUACUAUCAUGGAAUGGUAUGGUUCUCCUUCACAGCACUUAUAACUCCCAUUACAGACUAUUUUUGUAAUUGUUUAAUGUGCCCUCCACGUGAUUACCAUGCUUACCACUGCAUCCUUAGCUUCUACCACAGUGAUUGGCCCCUAUUAGACAAUUAAAAUAUUUGUUGAACUGAAUUGAAUAAAGCUUUGGGGGGCACAGAGCAGCUGCUAUGGUUUUUGUUUGUUUUUGUUGUU